This 276-nucleotide ribosomal RNA is filed under the name uncultured prokaryote. Its description in RNAcentral is "partial 16S ribosomal RNA". It matches the Rfam family "Bacterial small subunit ribosomal RNA", at positions 524 to 798 of the family's 1533-position model. The record is from RNAcentral.
UACGAAGGGUGCAAGCGUUAAUCGGAAUUACUGGGCGUAAAGGGUGCGUAGGCGGUCUGUUAAGUCUGAUGUGAAAGCCCACGGCUUAACCGUGGAGGGUCAUUGGAAACUGGUCGACUUGAGUACAGAAGAGGGAAGUGGAAUUCCAUGUGUAGCGGUGAAAUGCGUAGAGAUAUGGAGGAACACCAGUGGCGAAGGCGGCUUCCUGGUCUGUAACUGACACUGAGGCGCGAAAGCAUGGGGAGCGAACAGGAUUAGAUACCCCCGGUAGUCCCU